Neopsephotus bourkii (Bourke's parrot) is the source of this 1199-nucleotide long non-coding RNA. RefSeq lists it as uncharacterized. The record is from RefSeq and is a predicted model, not a curated record. Lineage: Eukaryota; Metazoa; Chordata; Aves; Psittaciformes; Psittacidae. The transcript has 3 exons.
UUUUGUUAUUGAUAUUUGAGGUUUUAUUAUGAUUUGGAAACUUGCUUUGAAUCAAGUGGAAGGAUUCAAAACCCAACCCAAGAGAGCUCUGUGUGGUGGGGAAGGAGGCUGCAGUGGAGCAAGCAAACAUGCUUUGAAGAAAGUUCCCAAGGCAGGUGGCAUGUUUCUUCAUUUGGAUUCCAGGAGACAUAAACAACAGCAGCUGUGGAGAUGACCCUUCUCGGAUGGGAAAAUUCACUUCUGAAAACUCACUGUGAAAUUCACUUCUGUUCAGCCUAUGACGCCAUGACAAGCUUCCAGCGUGGAGAUUUAAGAUGAGAUGCAUCAGCCCCAUGUGUGACAGGACAAAUAGGCUGAACAGGAGGGGAACAGACUAAUUAGUUGCCUUGAACUGAAGGAUGCCCUGGCACUGUUUGGUUAAUCACUGGACAAGGCUAACACAAUUGAACAAAUGACCAAUGUAAUAAGUAACAAAUGGAAACCACUCCACUUUCAGCAAAGGAGCUGCCUAUUUAAAGGCAGCAAGAGGUUUGCAGCACCAGCCCUAGCAACAAGGACAAAAGUUAUCCCAAAUGCGUGUAUGAAGCAGAGCUCUGAACACGUGAGGCUAAGCCACCAUGGACCCACUGUAUCAUGCUAUUAAUAGGAAGGGGCCUGCAUUAACUACUUAGAGGGCGACGCAAAGGCAUCAGAAGAAAUCUGUGAUGUACAUAAAGAAGCAAGUUGCACCAUAUCUAAUUGCUGGAAUAAUGAUUUUCUGCCAUGCAAAUUACCAGGAGCAAAUUCACUCCAGUACAUUUGUGUAUUUAAUUAUCAUCAAGAGCUGGAAUUGAGGGACUAGAUUUAAUAUGCUCAUAAUGAAACAGCCAGAAUUUGUGUGUGUAUUUGCAGAGAACUCGUUAUUUUACCACAGCUGGAUUGAUUUAUUUUAAAUAAAUCAUUAUGGCAGAGACAGUUUCUGCCUGUUUGCCCAUUUAUCACAAAAAUUGUGGUUUCAUUUAUAGAGGUGGUUUUUAUCAAGCACACAUCACCCCUUCUUGCUCGCAAGCUGCAUGUUUCUGUAUAUUUUGAGGAGCUCAGUGCAAAGAAUAGGUGUUACUUCAUGUAUAAGCCAAGAAUAGAGGAGUAGGAGGAAUUAGGAUGACUUCGAUGGGUUAAGAUUUUGUAACAGGUCAUAGGUCUUCAUACUUGUAGACACA